AUUUUGUUUUUAUUCCUACUGUAACAGUAUAUAUAGUAUACACAUCCUAUAGGUUUCUCUAUACUCUUCAGAUAGUACCUAAUGUCUAUUGUUUGAUUCUCAAGCUGUGUGACACUUGCUUCAGGUCUGUUUGCUCUUUUUUACUUCAUGUCCCCAUCAUGUAGGGACUUAAUGUGCCCUAUAUGUGAAUAGCCUGAAUAAAUAUACAGUGUAAAUAGCCUGAAUGAUUGGGAUUGACACAUGGGGAUUGUUAUAAUAUUUACAUGCAAUUUAAACCAUCAGUGUGUAUGAUGUUAUAAUUAACCCAGCCCCUCUGGCUGCACUUGCGUCUGGUUGCAGAGUUUACAACACUGAAAAUAUCCCAACUUGCAGACAUGGUAAGUUUACUUUCCAAUGUUAUCGUGACCGCUUUUGGUGGUGCGGGUUCUUCAUUUAAUUGACAGUUAUGUCACUGUCAUGAACCAGCCCGUCUACUGUUUCUAAACAGGUUGUUGAGGUUUGUAGAUUGUCCUUUAAUUAAUUGUGUGCAAAGUAUGUAAGACAGACCAAUAAAAUGCUUUGUUUUGUUUGGUCCAGUGGUGUAGUCAGGGCUGUACGUAUGUAUAUGCUGUAUUCUUGCGUUGUCCCCCCGGGCUGUGUGUGUAUAACGACUUCUAAGGAUCGAUAUUAGCGUAUACUUACUUGUUUUACUGUUUCAUAAGUCCUUAAUCUACUCUUAUGUUAGCUUUUUUGCGGGUUUUUUUUUUGGUAAAACUCACGAUUCUUUGCUGUAAUUGGUACCUGACGACCGCUGUCAACCCUCCGUCAUCGACGACAUUGUCUUGCUGAAGCAGUCAGGUAAAAUGAACAAAAGUGCAUCAAGUGGGCUUGAAAGUGUAUUCAGUUCUCACCGGGACUGAUUCUACUCUCUUUGAUUGACACUGAACUCAUGUAUUCACUUUUUCUCUUGAGCUGCUUUACACAAUCAUAAUUUACAGCUGCUUUACACUUAUCACAAUCAAUUGAUCAUAUUGCUGUGCAUUGCAAUAUAUUUCUCUAUCUAUCUAUCUAUCUAUCUAUCUAUCUAUCUAUCUAUCUAUCUAUCGCAAUUUUUAGUACUGGCUUUACAAAAAUCAGACGAUGAAAUGUAACAAUUCCAAAAAUACACUUCCUUUAUCUAGUCCUCCAUAAUUCAAACGGGCACUUUUAUUACAUUUAAACAGUAAAACGAUUUCAGAAUUGCUAUUGGGCAGCAACAAUCUUGAUGUAAUAUAUGAAAAGGACAUGAUGCUUUGUUCUAUAUUGUGAUGAAUCGUAACAGGACCUGUAUAUGAGCUAGUCAACAAUACCCAGCCCUAAUAUACAGGAUAGAUACGUUGCCAACAUGCAAAGGGGAGUACCGGCACCUAUUUUAGCCAGGGGAGACACUUUCAGACACCCUUGAGGCAAAAGAUUGUGGCGUACUCAAAGAUGGACUUGAAAUCUAACCCUAAAAUCAACGCUGAGGAAUUUUUGAAAAAACCUAAUUUCUCAAAAAUCUGAGCAUUCUGGACACAAGCAGCUGGCCAUCUUUAUGGAGCCUGGUAUUCUUUAUGCUGAAGCAGAGGUUCUUCAUUUGUGCCCCGACCAGGCCAAUAGGGGAAUGAGAGACAUAAUCGAAUCUCCCAGAACUAAAUGUCAAAAUUUGAAACCCUUUAAGAACUGAACGCAGAACUUUUCUAUCAGCACAGCGGACUGCGUAACGGGUUUCAGUAUUAUAAAUGGCAUUAUGACUAACAAGUGGUCUGCACUUCCUGUUUCAAACAUUUCAGGUUGGAUGAUGAUGAUGAUGAUGAUGAUGAUGAUGAUGAUGAAUCUCAAUGGUUCAACACAGAGAAAUAUGGAAAGUCCAUCCUCGCACUGCAAAUCACCCAGAUGUAAAUCUGUAAAUCUGACCAUGGUUCGAAAAUUCGUUUAGAGCAUACUGUAACUGAAUAAACAAUGCACAAGUGAACAUUUUAAUAUGUAUUAAAUGUAACAAUUUACUACACGACUGGUUUGAUCUUCUCCACCCUUCUCACCCUUCUCUUCAAAGGAGCAUGAAGAGCAGAUUUAUGCUGGGUCGGUUUUAUUAAGGGUAGAUUUAUGUAAAACGUUUACUAAGAUCUAGAUAGUUGUGUCAAAGUAAAUAAUAUGUGUAAAUGAUUGACAUAAGGUGAAGAUCUGAUCAAGAUUUAGAAAGAUUUUUCUACAAUUAAUUUUUUUCUUUGAUUUUUUUUUUUCUUUUCUUUUCUUUUAAAAAGGCUGUGCUGAAGAAGACAGUAGUGGUGGGUUUUGUCCUCUUUGGUCUUAUUCCCCUGAUUCAUGCCUGCUCGUUGAAGAAAGCCGGUGGCAAAGCUGAUAAGUGUCAGGAUUACUUGGAUAAUUCGUGGCACCCACAAGGAUCCACCUGGACAAACCGCUACUGUAUUAAAUGCACUUGCAGCUCUGGAUACAUGAUCUGCUGUUCCGAAUUUCCAAAAUCUGUGACUCCUGGCUGCACCCUGCAAAAAGAUUACAAAACAUGCAAAUACAACGUGAUUAACUACAACCCAGCAGUUGAAUGUAAAGUCACGAAGAGUUAAUGUUGACGUGACCGAAGUUUCACAAUCAAUGCAUACAGAAUGUCAUAUAAGGGCAUGAAUAAUAGUGCAAUAAUAAUAAUAAUAAUAAUAAUAAUUCGGAGGUAGACUGUGAGUCUUUCGAUGUGUAGUUUUAGA
Ictalurus punctatus (channel catfish) is the source of this 2717-nucleotide RNA transcript. RefSeq lists it as uncharacterized. The transcript is spliced from 3 exons. The record is from RefSeq and is a predicted model, not a curated record. NCBI's taxonomy places the organism in Eukaryota, Metazoa, Chordata, Actinopteri, Siluriformes, Ictaluridae.